This is a long non-coding RNA of Triticum aestivum (bread wheat), 141 nucleotides long. RefSeq lists it as uncharacterized. NCBI's taxonomy places the organism in Eukaryota, Viridiplantae, Streptophyta, Magnoliopsida, Poales, Poaceae. The record is from RefSeq and is a predicted model, not a curated record. The transcript is spliced from 2 exons.
GGCGGCGCCCUUGGGCGUCGUUAUCCUUCUUGAAGGCAUCUCGGAAGAGUUCAUCCACUCAUCUCUGGGGUGUGGGCAAGUUGGUGGUUUCAUUCUGGAAUCCUCUAGGCAGGGUGCUUGCAAUCCCCUACAUCUCGGCUG